This is a non-coding RNA of Saimiri boliviensis boliviensis (Bolivian squirrel monkey), 1706 nucleotides long. The record is from RefSeq and is a predicted model, not a curated record. Lineage: Eukaryota; Metazoa; Chordata; Mammalia; Primates; Cebidae.
AUGAAGGAGAAUAAAGAAAAUUCAAGCCCUUCAGUAACUUCAGCAAAUCUGGAUCACACAAAACCAUGUUGGCACUAGGAUAAGAAAGACUUGGCUCAUACACCCUCACAACUGGAAGGACUUGAUCCAGCCACUGAGGCCCGGUACCGCCGAGAGGGCGCUCGGUUCAUCUUUGAUGUGGGCACACAUUUGGAGCUACACUGAUACCCUGGCAACUGGAAUAAUUUAUUUUCAUGGCUUCUAUAUGUUUCAUUCCUUCAAGUGAUUCCCAAGAUAUAUGACAGGAGCCUGUUGCCUCUUUUUGGCUGGGAAAGUAGAAGAAACACCAAAAAAAUGUAAAGAUAUCAUCAAAACAGCUCGUAGUUUAUUAAAUGAUGUACAGUUUGGCCAGUUUGAAGAUGACCCAAAGGAGAAAGUAAUGGAUCUGGAGAGAAUCUUACUGCAGACCACCAAGUUUGAUUUACAGGUGGAACAUCCAUACCAGUUCCUACUCAAAUAUACAAAGCAACUCAAAGGUGAUAAAAACAAAAUUCAAAAGUUGGUUCAAAUGGCCUGGACAUUUGUAAAUGACAGUCUCUGCACCACCUUGUCACUGCAGUGGGAACCAGAGAUCACAGCGGUAGCAGUGAUGUAUCUCGCAGGAUGUUAGUGCAAAUUCAAAAUACAAGAAGGGACCUCCAAACCCAUAUAUAGGAGAUGGUGGGAGCAGUUUGUUCAAGAUGUCCCAGUCGACGCUUUGGAAGACAUAUGCCACCAAAUCCUGGAUCUUUACUCACAAGGAAAACAACAGAUGCCUCAUCACACCCCCCAUCAGCUGCAACAGCCCCCAUCUCUUCAGCCUACACCACAAGUGCGGCAAGUACAACAGUCACAACCGUCUCAAGGCUCCGAACCAACCCUGCCCCAGCAGAAGGACCCCCAGCAACCAGCCCAGCAGCAGCAGCCAGACCAGCAGCCCAAGAAACCCUCUCCACAGCCCAGUUCUCCCCGACAGGUUAAGCAAGCCGUGGUUGUGUCUCCCAAAGAAGAUAACAAAGCAGCAGAACCAUCACCACCUAAAAUUCCCAAGAUUGAGACCACUCACCCACCGUUGCCUCCAGCCCACCCACCUCCAGACCGGAAGCCUCCCCUUGCUGCUGCCUCACGUGAGGCUGAGCCACCAGGCCCUGUGGAUGCCACUGACCUCCCCAAAGUCUGGACUCCUCCUCCGGCCACUGCUGCCACACUGGCCCUCGCCCUUACCCACCUCUAGCUACAUAACUGGGAUGCCCACCACCAGCUCCUACAUGUCUGGAGAGGGCUGGCUACCAGAGCGUGCAGUUCAUGAUGAAGGCUGAGGGGCCCUCCUACAGCGCCCUGCCCCCUGCCUAUGGCCCGCCCACAUACCCCAUGUCUACCCGCCCAACCCACCCCUGCCGCCUGUGCCUCCUCCCCCGGCCUCCUUCCCCCUACCUGCCAUCCCACCCCCUACUCCUGGCUACCCUCCACCCCUACCCACCUAUAACCCCAACUUCCCACCCCCACUCCAGCACCUGCCCCCUACCCACGCAGUCCCCCCUCACCCUCCUCCAGGCUUGGGCCUGUCACCAGCUAGCUACCCACCUCCUAUUGUGCCCCCUGGAGAACAGCUCCCUGUGCCCCCACCCAUUCCCCUACCCAGCAUGCCUCCAGUUGGGGGGCUGGGGCGGGCAGCCUGGAUGAGAUAA